CAAUAGCGUAUAUUAAAGUUGUUGCAGUUAAAAAGCUCGUAGUUGGAUUUCGGGGCAGCCUGGCUGGCCCGCCGCAAGGCGAGUACUGGUCAGCCGCCCUUCCUCUCGAAAGCCCCGACUGCUCUUCGUUGCAGUGGUCGGGUAGUUCGGGACGUUUACUUUGAAAAAAUUAGAGUGUUCAAGGCAGGCCUACGCCUGAAUACAUUAGCAUGGAAUAAUGGAAGAGGACCUCGGUCCUAUUUUGUUGGUUUCCAGGGCCGAAGUAAUGAUUAAGAGGGACAGUUGGGGGCAUUCGUAUUUAAUUGUCAGAGGUGAAAUUCUCGGAUUUAUGAAAGACGAACAACUGCGAAAGCAUUUGCCAAGGAUGUUUUCAUUAA
This 377-nucleotide ribosomal RNA is filed under the name uncultured eukaryote. RNAcentral's name for it is "partial 18S ribosomal RNA". It matches the Rfam family "Eukaryotic small subunit ribosomal RNA", at positions 592 to 976 of the family's 1831-position model. The record is from RNAcentral.